Non-coding RNA from Coturnix japonica (Japanese quail), 4505 nucleotides. Lineage: Eukaryota; Metazoa; Chordata; Aves; Galliformes; Phasianidae. The record is from RefSeq and is a predicted model, not a curated record.
GGAAGGAAGGAAGGAGGGAGGGAGGGAAGGAGGGAGGGAGCUCUGCUGCUGCAGCUGGAGGUGCUGCCGCAGCCGCGGGCACCGCCGCCCCCUCCCGCCGGGCCGGGCGGGGUGGGCUCCGCAGCCGAGAUGUCUCAGGAGCGGCCCAAGUUUUACCGCCAGGAGCUCAACAAGACGGUGUGGGAGGUGCCCGAGCGCUACCAAAACCUCUCCCCGGUCGGGUCCGGGGCCUACGGCUCCGUCUGUUCUGCCUUUGACACAAAAACUGGGUUGCGAGUGGCUGUAAAGAAGCUGUCCCGACCAUUUCAGUCUAUCAUCCAUGCCAAAAGGACCUACCGAGAGCUACGGCUACUGAAGCACAUGAAACAUGAAAAUGUGAUCGGCUUGCUGGAUGUGUUCACCCCUGCCAAGUCUCUGGAAGAAUUCAAUGAUGUGUACUUGGUGACACACCUCAUGGGAGCAGAUCUAAACAAUAUUGUGAAAUGCCAGAAACUCACAGAUGACCAUGUGCAGUUCCUCAUAUACCAGAUUCUUCGGGGGCUGAAGUACAUCCAUUCAGCUGACAUAAUACACAGAGAUUUAAAACCUAGUAACUUAGCUGUAAAUGAAGACUGUGAGCUAAAGAUCCUGGAUUUUGGUUUGGCUCGACAAACUGAUGAUGAAAUGACUGGCUACGUGGCUACAAGGUGGUACAGAGCUCCAGAGAUCAUGCUGAACUGGAUGCAUUACAACCAAACAGGUGAUCCAUUUUACUAAUAAAAGGCUUCUUGGUUCCUGAGUUCCUUGUGGGGAGGUCCAGGGAAGGUUCAUGUUCUGUUCCAUUUGAUUGUGUAAAUUGACAGUUACGCUAAUUACACUUCAGUGAUUAAAAGAAGUAAGACGCAAAUUAGUUUUAAAACCACAAUCUCAUAUCUAAGGUAUGAACUAUUAUGAUAGUGUUUACAACGCUUCCUUAAACUUCAACCUUUGAAACUGCACUUGGAGCAAUCUUGUCACUACUUACCCCUUUUCCUAGCACAACUACUUUUAAAGUAAGUGAAUAGAAUGUAUCUAGGUGAGAAAGACGGUGCCUUUCUAGAAAGCUGCUGGAAAUGCAUUUUAAAAAUGUCUGUGAUUAUGGAGUACAGAAAUGCUAAAGAUGCAUAGAAGUGUCCCUUUCUUCUUAGCCACUUCUUUUUCAUCACGUCCUCCUGGUUUGAUUGGCUUCCCAGCAGCGCACCGUUAUUCCCUGUGAAUAAAAGAAUGCUUUCAGAUCAAGCACAGUAAGGGAAAGAAAGGGCAGAUUUUUUCUAGUACAUGAAUGCUUACUAGUCAAUACAAAUAACAUGCUGUUCUAAUUUCAGACCUCACUGAUUCUGUGUUUUGUCUUUUCCUCCUGUGUGUACAUGGGCCUGUCUUGUCUGUAAUGUAGGAGUUGGUGGUUGUUCAGGUGGCAUUUAUGUAAGACCAGAUUCAUUCCUUAUAGCUAUCUUUAACAGAUUUCUUCCUUGAUUAUGUAGAUGCCUCCAUAGCUCUUUGGUGUCCAAUGCACAAUACAUUCUGGAAGGAAAAGUUGUCUAUCUUGUCAUCAUUGGGAAAAGUCUUACUCAAAGUGGUUAAUGAGCAGUGCCAGUUUCCUUGCAACCUCAGGUUCUUUCAACACCGUGAGAUUACUGAAGUGUAACAGCGGUUGUAAUUGUUGGAUAGAGUGAUUUUAUUGAGACUUCAUUUUUCUGCCUUACGAUUUUAUUUAUUUUAUUUUGUUCAGUUGAUAUUUGGUCAGUGGGAUGCAUUAUGGCUGAACUGUUGACUGGAAGAACGUUGUUCCCUGGUACAGACCAUAUUAACCAGCUUCAGCAGAUCAUGCGUCUGACGGGAACGCCCCCUGCAUAUCUCAUUAACAGGAUGCCCAGCCAUGAGGCGAGAAACUACAUUCAAUCUUUAUCUUACAUGCCGAAAAUGAACUUUGAAAAUGUGUUUAUCGGUGCCAAUCCAUUAGCUGUGGACUUGCUAGAGAAGAUGUUGGUGCUGGAUACAGACAAACGAAUCACUGCAGCAGAAGCAUUGGCUCACGCCUACUUUGCUCAGUAUCACGACCCAGAUGAUGAACCAGUGGCAGACCCCUACGACCAGUCUUUUGAAAGCAGAGAGCUUGAGAUUGAGGAAUGGAAAAGCCUGACUUACGAUGAAGUAAUCAGCUUUGUGCCACCGCCGCUUGACCAAGAGGAGAUGGAGUCCUGAGAAACUGCGCUCUUCUCUUUGUCCUGCUUCACUGUGAGGGGAAGGCCUUUCCUAGGGACUCUCCAACUAUCGUUCAAGUGCCUCGCCACAACAAUAUUCUCCUUGGUGGAAGGGAUUUGUGUGUGUUGAAUUGGGGAGGGUGGGGGGAGGGAGGAAAGCUGAGUCUAUGUAAACAUGCUGCAUGCUCUCUUGUGUUCUGUGUACAGCCUGGGACAAGCCUCUGAAGACCUGUUGUGACCGCUCUCAUCCUUCCACAGGAAGCGUUCAACCAGUUUGUGCUGCUGGGGUGAGGAAGGGAAGGUGACAUUCAAAGUUUGGACACAGUUGUUGCCAUUUAGCAGUUGUUCUUCAACUAACUAACCUCAAAAUAAGGGAAAGCUGGUUCAUAGGCUUAGAGAGCCCUCUGUUUUCUUUGGGAGCGAAGGUAGGGUUGGGAGAUGUCCUUGCUCCAUGAUGCUAGGUGGCUGAUUUUACAUCCAGAUCUUCCUGGUACAGGAGAAUGUACAGGCUUUCUGACAACUGUCUAUUGGAACGUGAGAAGAUUUUGUAUGAAACUGUAAAUAUGUUUGUGCCUUAAAUGAAUGGAGAAGGAGUGGGAAGGAAGUCUGGAGUGGAGGUGUCUGGCCCUGCUGUUUUUCAGGGUGAAGGCUCCCAGACAGCCAGGCGUGAACUCUGUGUAUUCAGGAAAUAACUUUCCGAGGCAACAGCCUCUCCUUGGAUUGGGUAUUCUGUAUUUUUUCCCUCUUCCCCUCCUCCAGUUGUGUGGUUUCUCAGCAUUAGCUCCCAGGAGACGGAGGCUGGAAAAAAUUCUUGCUAGCCACAUUCGUUUAUCUUGUUCCUUAAAAGGUGGGGUGUUCUUGCAUGUCAUAGCUGUAUGCGCAUGUAGAGCUGCUUGGUGUUCAUUGUUACAUUGUAGGGGUAGCACUGGGGCAGUUAAAUCAUCAGUGAACUGUUCACCCAGUACCUCAGCCAGUGCCACAAAGUCACAGCUUCCUUUCUCUUGUGCUGCAGCUCAGCGUGAAAUACCUGACAGUGUGGAGACUGACAAGAAAAGGGUAAAACAUGAAGCAUAGGAAUGCACCUUUCCCUUUGUUCUGGUCUUCUGGCUUCAGAUGAGAGAUUGGGAUGGAGGGCAUCUUGUGAGAUCAAGCGUAAAAAAUGUUCUUUGAAGAAACAACUGUGGCAUCUUGUGCCAGAAUUUAAGUUAUUUCCUGAAAUUGGUUUUUUUUUCCUAAAGAUGUUGGAAUCCAAAGCAAAGAAACAAGCAUGCAUAAAAACACGUUCUCCCUGUUGCUGUCUAUGUAGGUAUUUAUAUAAUAUAAAACCAACUAGAGGAUUCUUUUUUUUACCUUCACAGAUAAGAGCUUCUUGGCUGCUUGUUAGCAGGUUGAUCUCGGUGUGAGGAAAUGGGAGAGGGGAGUGUGUUAGGAUACAAACACGACAGAAGUAUUGAUGUUUUACAGGACUCCAUGUGAGUUUAAUGCCCAGUUAAGUACUGGCAGGAGGGGCUCUUUCUGUGUUGCUCUGUGCUAUUACUGUGCUAUGGAUCUCAGGAUCCUGAUUGUAGGCCUUGGGGAGGAGACAUUUCUAGACAUUUAUCAGUUGCAGGUGUCCUGUGCAUGCAACACAGCAGCUGUGUAUGUGAGGAGAAGGGCUUUGCAGUGUUUUGCAUUCUUGUUACUUACGGGAUGGAGAGGAACUGUUUGUAGUAUUUUUACCACGUGUCUGAAGAGGCAGCACAAAGGGAUGGGACACAAGAAAAACGAAGCCAUCAAUUCUUGCUAGGCUACUUUCCAGUGAUCUCUUCAGGUCAAACUGAAGGCUGGGGUGAGGUGAAGAGGGACUUCGUGCUCUGUGAUAACGCUCAGUUCAGACCAACAAAAUAGCGACAAAACCUCCCUGCUGGACAAGCAGUCCGAGUAUUCAAACGGAAAAAAAAAAAUAAAUGUAGAUAGACUCUGUAAACCUACAGCAGGAUGAUUUUUAUCAGCCAUUUUAUGUGUAGAUGCUACAAGUGUGAUUCCAUGCGGAAAUACUGCUCAAGAUUUUUAUUAAUAUAGACAUUGUGCAUCUGUGUGCGAGUGGGAAGCUUUCAUUCACAGCCCUGCUUGAGGGAGCUCCUGCCUGCAGUGCGGUGCUGUUCAGCUGCCUGCAGCCUGAACAGGAGGAUGCACUUCAAAGAACAGAUCUGCUAUUUUCUUUCUAUCCGUGAGUUUUGUUGAAGUUGGUUAUGCCGGAUAAGAUGUCACAAUACCACUGGUUAAAAAUAAAACCUAUUUUUCAGA